AUGAAUAUCCACACAAAGCCUUUGUGCUUGUUGGGUAUAAAAUACCCCCAGCCGAAGUUCAUGUCAGGAGUGACCCUCCGGGGAUUUUACCGAUGUCCGAUCUUCGUCGACAUCUUCCCGAACCUCUCCGGCGGCCGAGCCUCCACAGCGUUCCCGAGUUUUGCCGACGGAUAAACCCCCAUCAGUGUCGACUAGAUUCUCCGCGACGGACGAACUCCACCAAAGUUUCCGCGAUGGUCA
This 240-nucleotide long non-coding RNA is filed under the name Elaeis guineensis (African oil palm). RNAcentral's name for it is "long non-coding RNA (EGUI_LNC077283)". The record is from RNAcentral. Lineage: Eukaryota; Viridiplantae; Streptophyta; Magnoliopsida; Arecales; Arecaceae.